This 406-nucleotide ribosomal RNA is filed under the name uncultured bacterium. Its description in RNAcentral is "partial 16S ribosomal RNA". It matches the Rfam family "Bacterial small subunit ribosomal RNA", at positions 29 to 526 of the family's 1533-position model. The record is from RNAcentral.
AUUGAACGCUGGCGGCAGGCCUAACACAUGCAAGUCGAGCGAGCGGCGGACGGGUGAGUAAUGUCUGGGAAACUGCCUGAUGGAGGGGGAUAACUACUGGAAACGGUAGCUAAUACCGCAUACCAUCAGAUGUGCCCAGAUGGGAUUAGCUAGUGGGUGGGGUAAUGGCUCACCUAGGCGACGAGCCCUAGCGGGUCUGAGAGGAUGACCAGCCACCGUGGAACUGAGACAUGGCCCAGAAUCCUACGGGAGGCAGCAGUGGGGAAUAUUGGAAAAUGGGAGAAAGCCUGAUGCAGCCAGGCCGCGUGUGUGAAGAAGGCCUUCGGGUUGUAAAGCACUUUCAGCGGGGAGGCGUUACCCGCAGAAGAAGCACCGGCUAACUCCGUGCCAGCAGCCGCGGUAAUAC